UUAAUGUGGCAGAGCAUGGUAAAUGCAAAAGACCUAAAUCCUUUACAAUCAGAGGUUCAAAUCCUCUUAUUAAC
This 74-nucleotide transfer RNA is filed under the name Gymnopis multiplicata. RNAcentral's name for it is "tRNA-Leu". It matches the Rfam family "tRNA". From Rfam's summary of the family: Transfer RNA (tRNA) molecules are approximately 80 nucleotides in length. Their secondary structure includes four short double-helical elements and three loops (D, anti-codon, and T loops). The record is from RNAcentral. Lineage: Eukaryota; Metazoa; Chordata; Amphibia; Gymnophiona; Dermophiidae.